RNAcentral lists this ribosomal RNA (321 nucleotides) under Paenibacillus sp. Its description in RNAcentral is "bacterial SSU rRNA". It matches the Rfam family "Bacterial small subunit ribosomal RNA", at positions 1033 to 1354 of the family's 1533-position model. Lineage: Bacteria; Bacillati; Bacillota; Bacilli; Caryophanales; Paenibacillaceae. The record is from RNAcentral.
GACAGGUGGUGCAUGGUUGUCGUCAGCUCGUGUCGUGAGAUGUUGGGUUAAGUCCCGCAACGAGCGCAACCCUUGAUCUUAGUUGCCAGCAUUUCGGAUGGGCACUCUAAGAUGACUGCCGGUGACAAACCGGAGGAAGGUGGGGAUGACGUCAAAUCAUCAUGCCCCUUAUGACCUGGGCUACACACGUACUACAAUGGUCGGUACAACGGGAAGCGAAGCCGCGAGGUGGAGCCAAUCCUUAUAAGCCGAUCUCAGUUCGGAUUGCAGGCUGCAACUCGCCUGCAUGAAGUCGGAAUUGCUAGUAAUCGCGGAUCAGCA